GGAUGCGAUCAUACCAGCACUAACGCAUCGGAUCCCAUCAGAACUCCGAAGUUAAGCGUGCUUGGGCGAGAGUAGUACUAGGAUGGGUGACCCCCUGGGAAGUCCUCGUGUUGCAUCCC
This 119-nucleotide ribosomal RNA is filed under the name Nicotiana attenuata. RNAcentral also lists the same sequence under 1 other name. Lineage: Eukaryota; Viridiplantae; Streptophyta; Magnoliopsida; Solanales; Solanaceae. The record is from RNAcentral.